GACGAACGCUGGCGGCGUGCCUAAUACAUGCAAGUUGAGCGCUGAAGGUUGGUACUUGUACCAACUGGAUGAGCAGCGAACGGGUGAGUAACGCGUGGGGAAUCUGCCUUUGAGCGGGGGACAACAUUUGGAAACGAAUGCUAAUACCGCAUAAAAACUUUAAACACAAGUUUUAAGUUUGAAAGAUGCAAUUGCAUCACUCAAAGAUGAUCCCGCGUUGUAUUAGCUAGUUGGUGAGGUAACGGCUCACCAAGGCGAUGAUACAUAGCCGACCUGAGAGGGUGAUCGGCCACAUUGGGACUGAGACACGGCCCAAACUCCUACGGGAGGCAGCAGUAGGGAAUCUUCGGCAAUGGACGAAAGUCUGACCGAGCAACGCCGCGUGAGUGAAGAAGGUUUUCGGAUCGUAAAACUCUGUUGGUAGAGAAGAACGUUGGUGAGAGUGGAAAGCUCAUCAAGUGACGGUAACUACCCAGAAAGGGACGGCUAACUACGUG
RNAcentral lists this ribosomal RNA (497 nucleotides) under uncultured bacterium. RNAcentral describes it as "partial 16S ribosomal RNA". It matches the Rfam family "Bacterial small subunit ribosomal RNA", at positions 28 to 507 of the family's 1533-position model. The record is from RNAcentral.